This 301-nucleotide ribosomal RNA is filed under the name uncultured bacterium. Its description in RNAcentral is "partial 16S ribosomal RNA". It matches the Rfam family "Bacterial small subunit ribosomal RNA", at positions 509 to 807 of the family's 1533-position model. The record is from RNAcentral.
CAGCAGCCACGGUAAUACAGAGGGUGCAAGCGUUAAUCGGAAUUACUGGGCGUAAAGCGCGCGUAGGUGGUUUGUUAAGUUGGAUGUGAAAUCCCCGGGCUCAACCUGGGAACUGCAUCCAAAACUGGCAAGCUAGAGUAUGGUAGAGGGUGGUGGAAUUUCCUGUGUAGCGGUGAAAUGCGUAGAUAUAGGAAGGAACACCAGUGGCGAAGGCGACCACCUGGACUGAUACUGACACUGAGGUGCGAAAGCGUGGGGAGCAAACAGGAUUAGAGACCCGCGUAGUCCCUGUCUCUUAUAC